RNAcentral lists this transfer RNA (85 nucleotides) under Phycisphaerales bacterium. RNAcentral's name for it is "tRNA-Leu". It matches the Rfam family "tRNA". Rfam says of the family: Transfer RNA (tRNA) molecules are approximately 80 nucleotides in length. Their secondary structure includes four short double-helical elements and three loops (D, anti-codon, and T loops). Lineage: Bacteria; Pseudomonadati; Planctomycetota; Phycisphaerae; Phycisphaerales. The record is from RNAcentral.
GCCGGAGUGGCGGACUUGGCAGACGCAGGGGACUCAAAAUCCCCCGCCCUUUAAAGGCGUGUGGGUUCAAGUCCCUCCUCCGGCA